UCCUAUUGUGAGUAGGAACCAAUUAGGAUGCUCCAUCCAAUCCUUGGUCACCUUGCAGCCUUGAGCAGGAGUGUGAGCUGUAUAAAAGGUGGGCUAGUUAGAAUCCCUCAGACUCUUUGACUUCUCCGCACUCUCACGGACAGCUGUGUUGUAGGUCUAACCCAGAAUGUCUCAGCAGAAGCAGAAGCAGUGCUGUCCCCCACCUCAGCAAUGCUGUCCACCACCUCAGCAGUGCUGUCCCCCACCUCAGCAGUGCUGUCCCCCACCUCAGCAGUGCUGUCCCCCACCCCAGCAGUGCUGUCCCCCAACUCAGCAGACCAAGCAACCUUGCCAGCCUCCACCCAAGUGCCAGCAGAAGUGCCCACCCCCUCAGCAAUGUCAGAAGUCCAAGCAGAAGUAAGAUUGCAACCUGUCACCAGAGGCACGCCCCAGUGACACAGCAAGAAGUACCUUCAUUAACAUCCUGUACCCAUCAGAAGCAGGAGCAGCUCAUCAUGUCUCUGGCUGCAGCUGUAUUAUACUCUGUGGGGAGGCAGAACCAUGGCCAUACUUUCCUCCUUCUCUACCUCUUGUUAAUUAGCAGCUGCAGUUUCCAUCUCAGACAAGGAUCUGGCUUUAAAGUGUCUGCUCAUCUUCAGUGACAUGCUUCUUCAUUGUCUUGCUGGAAACUUGGACGCCACACCCAAACACCCUUUCCCAUCACCCUGUCCAAAACAUUAAAGUAGAAUUCCUCUGGCA
Cavia porcellus (domestic guinea pig) is the source of this 738-nucleotide long non-coding RNA. RefSeq lists it as uncharacterized. Lineage: Eukaryota; Metazoa; Chordata; Mammalia; Rodentia; Caviidae. The transcript is spliced from 2 exons. The record is from RefSeq and is a predicted model, not a curated record.